GCUUGCUCAGAGGUGGCGCAUGCGCUUUUGCGAUAUGUGGAGAUUAGUCCGAACCGGUGCAGCACGAAUGUGUAGUGCGGCGGGGGUUGAUUGGAGUUGAGCAAACUUCACCCUAUCCGCUGCUGCACCAUGGCACAGUUUGGGGGGCAGAAAAACCCACCAUGGGCUGCCCAGUUUGCAGCCACUGCAGUCUCUCAGCCGGGACAGUCCCUUGACAUAAACAGCUUGCACUCCGCUCUAAGUGUCCAGCAACCAUCCCUUCUUGGAGCAUCUCCUGGAAUAUAUUCUCAACAAUCUGCCUUAGCGGCUGCUAGCCUCAACUCGCAGUCUGCUGCUAGUUACCAGUUAUCGCAACAAACUGCUGCUCUACAGCAGCAAGCUGCUGCCGCUGCGGCUGCUUUGCAACAACAGUAUCAGCAACAGCAGCAGCAGCAGCAACAACCUCCACCACCUCAGCAAACUCUGUACAGUGUCCAGCAGCAGUUACAGCAGCCACAGCAAGCAUUGCUAACUCAGCCACCUGUUGCUUUGCCUACCAGUCUCAGUCUGUCUAAUCCACAGCCAGCAGCACAAAUUACAGUCUCCUACCCAGCACCCAGAUCCAGUCAGCAAACACAGCCCCUGAAACAGCGUGUUUUUACUGGUGUGGUUACAAAGUUACAUGAUACCUUUGGGUUUGUGGAUGAAGAUGUCUUCUUUCAGCUUAGUGCUGUCAAAGGCAAAACACCCCAGGUUGGUGAUCGAGUGCUGGUUGAAGCUGCGUAUAAUCCAAACAUGCCAUUCAAAUGGAAUGCACAAAGAAUACAAACUUUGCAACAUAUGGCUCCACAGUCAACCCAACCUCAAGGCCAGCCUUUACUCAAGACUACACCAACAAUGUUGCAGUCUCUGCCUCCAACAGCUACCUUUAGUGUUCAGGCCCAGGCCCAGACACAGCCACCUGCAUUGCUACAAGCUCAGCUCUCUGCUGCUUCCCUUGCUCCAUUGCUGCAGAACCCUCCUCAGCCCUUGCUGCCACAGCCACCACAAAAAGCAGGCCUGCUUCAACCUCCUGUACGUAUGAUCCCCCAGCCACAGCCGGCACGAAGGAUAGAUCCUACACCUAGACUCCCUAGCAGGAAUGACCGAGGAGACCCCAUUGGAGCGAGAAAAGAAGACCGAAGCCGUGAGAGAGACAGAGAAAGGAGACGGUCUAGGGAGCGCUCACCGCAGAGAAAGCGUUCAAGAGAGAGAUCGCCGCGUAGAGACCGCUCACCAAGAAGGCCUCGCAGAGCAGCUCCACGUUAUACUGUGCAGUUCUCAAAAUUUUCUUUGGACUGUGUUAACUGUGAUAUGAUGGAACUCCGAAGACGCUAUCAAAAUCUUUACAUCCCUAGUGAUUUCUUUGAUGCAGAGUUUACAUGGGUGGAUGCUUUUCCAAUUUCUCGUCCCUUUCAUUUUGGAAACUACUGUAGUUUCCACAUUAUGCACAAAGAGGUGGAGCCCUUAGUGAAAAACACAGCUGUGCUUGAUCCUUCAGAUGCUAAUCACUUGUAUAGUGCAAAGGUGAUGUUAUUGGCAAAUCCCAGCCUAGAUGAUCUGUAUCACAAAUCAUGUGCCCUUGCUGACGACCCUCAGGAGGUUCGAGAAGCUUUCCAACAUCCUGCAAGGUUGAUCAAGUUUUUAGUUGGCAUGAAGGGAAAGGAUGAGGCUAUGGCUAUUGGUGGGCACUGGUCUCCAUCUCUGGAUGGCAUCAAUCCUGAAUCGGAUCCCUCUGUGCUGAUAAAGACAGCUGUCCGUUGUUGUAAGGCUCUCACAGGCAUUGAUCUAAGUUUAUGCACUCAGUGGUACCGUUUUGCAGAGAUUCGCUAUCAUCGCCCUGAGGAGACCCACAAGGGGCGUACAGUUCCAGCUCAUGUGGAGACAGUGGUUUUAUUUCUCCCGGAUGUUUGGCAUUGUCUUCCCACCCGCUCUGAGUGGGAAACCCUCUCCCGUGGAUACAAGCAGCAGCUGGUCGAGAAGCUCCAGGCUGAACGAAAGGAGGCUGAUGGAGAACAGGAAGAGGAAGAAAAGGAUGAAGGGGAGCUGAAAGAGAUUUCUACUCCAACUCACUGGUCAAAACUGGACCCCAAGUCAAUGAAGGUAAAUGAUCUUCGUAAGGAAUUGGAAAGCCGCAGCCUUAGUUCAAAAGGAUUAAAGUCUCAGUUAAUCGCUCGUUUGAUGAAACAGCUGAAAGUGGAGGAACAAACAGAUGAAUUGAAAGAACCAGAAAAAACAGACAAUACAGAAGAGGAGGAGGAAGAACAGAUGAAGGCAGAAGAAGACAAAGAGGAGGAAGAAAAACGACGCCUGGAAGAAGUGGAACGCCAGCGAAGAGAGCGUCGCUACAUUCUACCAGACGAGCCUACAAUUGUUGUGCAUCCAAACUGGGCUGCUAAGAAUGGCAAAUUUGAUUGCAGCAUCAUGUCGCUGAGUGUUCUGCUAGACUACAGACUCGAAGACAAUAAAGAGCAUUCUUUUGAAGUAUCUUUGUUUGCUGAACUGUUCAAUGAAAUGCUUCAGAGAGACUUUGGUUACCGCAUAUAUAAAGCAGUGGCAUCCCUCCCUCAGAAGGAUGAAAAGACAGAUAAAAAGGAAAAGGUUAGAAAAGACGAUAAAAAAGAUACAGAGAGGAAAGAAGUAGAUAAAAAAGAUUAUACCAAGAGUAAAGAAAGCCGUGAUGAAGACAACGUUGAGCCGAUUGCUAAAAGAAAUAAAUUAUUUGAAGAGAAAGAAGAAAGGAAGGAUGACAAAGAAAAAAGGAAGGAGGAGCUGAAAGAAGAAGAUGAAAUUGAUGAGGAAAGCAAUAACGCCACUGCUGAGGAGUAUGACCCUAUGGAAGCUGAAGAGGCAGAAGAAGAUGAUGAAGACGAAAAAGAAGAUGAAGAAACAAAUGGUAAAGACAGAAGAGAUUACAAAAGAGAUGAAAGAAAAAAUAAAGAAAGGUCUUCAAAAGAUAAGGAAAAAGAAAAGAAACAAAUGGUCACAUACAACAAAGAUCUUCUUAUGGCAUUUGUUUAUUUUGAUCAAAGCCACUGUGGAUAUCUCCUAGAAAAAGACUUGGAGGAAAUUAUUUACACAUUGGGACUACACCUUUCUCGUGCUCAGGUGAAGAAGCUGUUAAAUAAAACUGUUGUUCGGGAAUCUUGCUUUUACCGUAAGCUAACUGACUGUGCCAAAGAUGAAGCAAUUCCUUUUGUAAAUGAACCUCCUCAAGAGAGUCUUUUAGGAAACAAGGCUUUGUUACCAUGUCAUAAAUUGGCAGUCGAGAAGAAUGAAUCUCCUGACUCAGGCACUCUCAUAAUUUAUAAUGGCGCAAUGGUAGAUAUUGGGAGCUUGAUGCAGAAGCUGGAGAAAAGUGAAAAAGCCAGAGAGGAAAUUGAGCAGAAGCUUCAGUGUCAAGAAACCAAGCAAGGAGAAGAUAAUAAGUUGAUAUUACAACUGGAAACUGCGAACAAAAACCUAUCUUCCGAGCUGAAAGAAAUCAAAAAUUACCUUUCCCAGGCUGAAGAAAAUUUGAAAACAUCAGAGCAACAGAAAUCCUAUUAUGAAGAACACUUGCAUAAAACAGCUUCAAGUUUGAGUAAAGUUAUGGAAGAACUCCAAAAUGUUCUAAAAAAGUUUCAGGAUCAUGGAAAUCUAUCCCAUCACUGUAUGGCACAGGGGAGGAAGCCUGAUAUAUAGUUAAACAAGGAGUAGCCAAUAUGAGAGCAUGUUACCAUGCUUGGGAGAUUGUACACAUGUGUGGGUGUAUCUAAGUCUGAAGAAAACAGCCAAUCGUCAAGAGAGAAUGGUUCUGGUGAAUGACUACCCAGCCUCUUUUAACUUUGUCUAGUGGUCUAAAUAUUACUGUACAUAAGAGAGCUAAAGGAAUGAAUGUGAAUGAAAAGAUGCAUGUUUUUGCAUUUUAUUUUUUUGUUUUAUGUUCCCUACAAAACUCCCUCAUAUAGUUUUAUGAAGAAGUGUUCUUUAUGUAAACCACUUCAUAAUUUAUGAAGUACUUACUGCCCUUUCACAUGAAAGAGGGAGUGUGGUGAAUUGUAAUAUUUUAAAGCUAAUAAGACUUACAUUUUAUGGAAGGGAUGCACUAUACAAUAAUUUGUUUACUUGAAAUUAUUGUUACAGUCUUUGCUAUAAGGCAUUUAACAUUGAAUUUAAGUUAACAGAGGAAAUGGUUUGUCCUCCCGCACCUACAAUUAUGUAAGAAAAUGAAUAAAAAAAAUAAUUUUUUUUUGGU
Molecule: RNA transcript, 4255 nt
Organism: Polypterus senegalus (gray bichir)
Lineage: Eukaryota; Metazoa; Chordata; Cladistia; Polypteriformes; Polypteridae
Gene: ccar1
Gene name: cell division cycle and apoptosis regulator 1
Exons: 26
Source: RefSeq, a predicted model, not a curated record